GCCAGACUCCUACGGGAGGCAGCAGUGGGGAAUAUUGCACAAUGGGGGGAACCCUGAUGCAGCGACGCCGCGUGGGUGAAGGAGUAUUUCGGUAUGUAAAGCCCUAUCAGCAGGGAAGAACAAUGACGGUACCUGACUAAGAAGCACCGGCUAAAUACGUGCCAGCAGCCGCGGUAAUACGUAGGGGGCAAGCGUUAUCCGGAUUCACUGGGUGUAAAGGGAGCGUAAACGGCCAUGCAAGCCUGGAGUGAAAGCCCGGGGCCCAACCCCGGGACUGCUCUGGGAACUGUGCGGCUGGAGUGCGGGAGGGGCAGGCGGAAUUCCUGGUGUAGCGGUGAAAUGCGUAGAUAUCAGGAGGAACACCGGCGGCGAAGGCGGCCUGCUGGACCGCGACUGACGUUGAGGCUCGAAAGCGUGGGGAGCAAACAGGAUUAGAUACCCUAGUA
RNAcentral lists this ribosomal RNA (446 nucleotides) under uncultured bacterium. Its description in RNAcentral is "bacterial SSU rRNA". It matches the Rfam family "Bacterial small subunit ribosomal RNA", at positions 330 to 792 of the family's 1533-position model. The record is from RNAcentral.